This 259-nucleotide unclassified non-coding RNA is filed under the name Hevea brasiliensis (rubber tree). The record is from RNAcentral. Lineage: Eukaryota; Viridiplantae; Streptophyta; Magnoliopsida; Malpighiales; Euphorbiaceae.
UGAAAGUCCUAAACUACAUCCUAGGUAUAGUUGGUGUUUACACUGACUCAUGAAUGAAAUGAAAUGGAGUACGUAUGAAUGAACGAAGCAGACUCCGUGUUUGCUAAAACAGACUUCCUAGUUGAGGUCCCAUAUGUUGAGCCCUCAUUUCUGGAAAGUCUUAAUGUUAAGUCCAUGAUUCCAAGUUCUUAUGGCAUAUGAAUGAAUGAUAUGAAAGAUGUUAUGUUCUAUAUGUGAUAUGAUAUGUGAAUGUUAUAUG